Molecule: small RNA, 119 nt
Filed under: Streptomyces caatingaensis
Lineage: Bacteria; Bacillati; Actinomycetota; Actinomycetes; Kitasatosporales; Streptomycetaceae
Description: Streptomyces-metH RNA
Rfam family: Streptomyces-metH RNA
Source: Rfam by way of RNAcentral
CCGUCCGGGGCGUGGGACGCCCCCUGCGCCGAACGGGUUGUACGGCUACGCUUGCCGCGUGCGUCCUCUCCGGGAGGGCGCAAAGCCGACAGCCGUCGCAACCACGGGAGCUCCCCAUG